GUUUGAUCAUGGCUCAGAUUGAACGCUGGCGGCAGGCUUAACACAUGCAAGUCGAGCGGGGGAAGGUAGCUUGCUACUGGACCUAGCGGCGGACGGGUGAGUAAUGCUUAGGAAUCUGCCUAUUAGUGGGGGACAACAUCUCGAAAGGGAUGCUAAUACCGCAUACGUCCUACGGGAGAAAGCAGGGGAUCUUCGGACCUUGCGCUAAUAGAUGAGCCUAAGUCGGAUUAGCUAGUUGGUGGGGUAAAGGCCUACCAAGGCGACGAUCUGUAGCGGGUCUGAGAGGAUGAUCCGCCACACUGGGACUGAGACACGGCCCAGACUCCUACGGGAGGCAGCAGUGGG
RNAcentral lists this ribosomal RNA (345 nucleotides) under Acinetobacter baumannii. RNAcentral's name for it is "bacterial SSU rRNA". It matches the Rfam family "Bacterial small subunit ribosomal RNA", at positions 11 to 358 of the family's 1533-position model. The record is from RNAcentral. Lineage: Bacteria; Pseudomonadati; Pseudomonadota; Gammaproteobacteria; Moraxellales; Moraxellaceae.